RNAcentral lists this unclassified non-coding RNA (350 nucleotides) under soil metagenome. RNAcentral's name for it is "partial contains 5.8S ribosomal RNA, internal transcribed spacer 2, and large subunit ribosomal RNA". The stretch from base 1 to 120 matches the Rfam family "5.8S ribosomal RNA", at positions 35 to 154 of the family's 154-position model. The record is from RNAcentral.
GAUGAGGAACGUAGCGAAAUGCGAUAAGUAAUGUGAAUUGCAGAAUUCAGUGAAUCAUCGAAUCUUUGAACGCACAUUGCGCCCGCCAGUAUUCUGGCGGGCAUGCCUGUCCGAGCGUCAUUUCAACCCUCGAACCCCUCCGGGGGGUCGGCGUUGGGGAUCGGCCCUUUACGGGGCCGGCCCCGAAAUACAGUGGCGGUCUCGCCGCAGCCUCUCCUGCGCAGUAGUUUGCACACUCGCAUCGGGAGCGCGGCGCGUCCACAGCCGUUAAACACCCCAAACUUCUGAAAUGUUGACCUCGGAUCAGGUAGGAAUACCCGCUGAACUUAAGCAUAUCAAUAAGCGGAGGA